RNAcentral lists this ribosomal RNA (473 nucleotides) under uncultured bacterium. Its description in RNAcentral is "bacterial SSU rRNA". It matches the Rfam family "Bacterial small subunit ribosomal RNA", at positions 8 to 527 of the family's 1533-position model. The record is from RNAcentral.
AGGGUUUGAUCAUGGCUCAGAAUGAACGCUGGCGGCAUGCCUAACACAUGCAAGUCGAACGAGAUCUUCGGAUCUAGUGGCGCACGGGUGAGUAACGCGUGGGAACCUACCUUUUAGUACGGGACAACGUUUGGAAACGAACGCUAAUACCGUAUACGCCCUCCGGGGGAAAGGUCAGCCGCUAAAAGAGGGGCCCGCGUCUGAUUAGCUUGUUGGUAAGGUAAUGGCUUACCAAGGCUACGAUCAGUAGCUGGUCUGAGAGGAUGAUCAGCCACACUGGGACUGAGACACGGCCCAGACUCCUACGGGAGGCAGCAGUGGGGAAUAUUGGACAAUGGAGGCAACUCUGAUCCAGCAAUGCCGCGUGUGUGAUGAAGGCCCUAGGGUUGUAAAGCACUUUCAACGGUGAAGAUGAUGACGGUAGCCGUAGAGGAAGCCCCGGCUAACUUCGUGCCAGCAGCCGCGGUAAUACA